Dreissena polymorpha is the source of this 2477-nucleotide long non-coding RNA. RefSeq lists it as uncharacterized. The record is from RefSeq and is a predicted model, not a curated record. The transcript has 11 exons. Lineage: Eukaryota; Metazoa; Mollusca; Bivalvia; Myida; Dreissenidae.
UUUCCAUAGCAGGGGUUGGAACUGCCUCCUGGACAUUGUUGCUGGCAGGAAGGACCAUGGUAGCCAUGGUGACAUGUACAGCCACCUGUUGGUACCGGCAGUGGGCUCUGGAGAAGUGAAUCAUAUCAAAAGUGCUGGAACCGAAUUUUGAAGGCCUUUGCAAACAGUUUGGAUCCAGAUGAGACGCCACAGAACGUGGACAAAUUUCCCAGCAUGCAAAGGGUUAAGAACGCUCCAACAGAGGGGAUCUGACUUAUGAACAUUGAAGGAAGUGAUGGAGGAGGUUGGAUACUCACCAAGGCGGGUGGUGUUGCGCAGGCCUCAGCAGUGUUGAUCUCAGCCACAGCCGGGAUGUUAGAGACUGCGAGAGAGUAGACCUGCCAUGUGAUCUGUCUCAGCUCAUCCAGUGUUUGAGAGACAUUUAACUACCUUGCACCUAAAAAUGGCAAAACAAGAGUGCAUCUGUACCAUAAACUGUAGCGUAUCCGUUCCUGCAAAGUGUCUCACAGGUGGUGUUGUAGCCAAUGUAGUCAUCUUGGCAGCGUUCGCACUUGCUUCCAACAAAGUUUGGCGUGCACCUGUCGCAUGCCAGGCCUGUGAAUCCAUGGUGACACACGCAGGCUGGUGCAGCUGCUGUGUCCUUAAGAAGGCAGUCACCUGGAGACAAGAAUAUUUUAUGAGAAACACAUUGCAAUAUGAAGUGCCGACAUGGCCAGGACAAACGAGUUCCGAGCAGUUAUCCCCAGUGAAGCCUCCCUCGCACAGACAGACUGACCUUCCAUCCACACGGGUACAUGUGCCAUGGCGGGAACUGGUACAAUCUGGUUCACCUGGAAAUGUCUGAGCCAGAGUAGCAUGGAUCGCAUUCACAGAUCGUUGAGAAGGCGGGGGUCUCCUUGCCAUGUAUGCAGUCAAACUGGCAGGAUGUGCCCAUGGACAGGGAGCAGUUCACACAGCGCGGGGGCCAGUAUAGGGCUCCAUCGCAUGCACCUGAGCAGAAUUAUAGUGAUGAAGAGAGUUAUAUGUUUGCAGAUCCUUGGCCAUAACAGACUUGGUCACAGGCACCACCAGUGUAGCACGGGUCACAGACACACUCAAAGUUGGCGUUAGGCUGUCCAUGCACACACUUGUACUGGCACUCCAGCCCCAUCCAUCCCUCAUGGCACUGGCAGCGGGGAAGAUCACCACUGGGGAUGCAAUCACCGUUACCGGAACAGUCAGGUGUGCCAGGACAGUCUGCCACGUGACAAUUCCUCGCCUUGAGCAGUUGUUGAGACACUCGGCGGUCCAGCAACCUUCUCCCACCCAGUAGGUGUCACAGCUGAGGCAGUGAUACAGCUUCCAUGUCCCGUGCAGUCUACACCAUCUUUGCCAGGACAGCCCGCUUUCUCGCAGUUGUCUCCCCUCCAUCCAGCCGUCCCGCAGUCACACAUACCCGCGCUAUUGCAGCUUCCACGACCCGAACACUCCACAUCACACAGCUCCCCUGUGAAGCAACUGUCGCAUGUACAAUACCAGGUGGACAGGUCCGCUAGAUCAGGUUUGAUCAAGGAAAGGACCUUUUGGUUAGAGGUUAUACAAAGGCGGGACUUACUGCUGCAGUUGUUUGGACACAGAGGCAGACCACAGUCGUCACCCAUCCAGCCGUUGUCACAGAGACACGUCAUCUUUACGCAGGUGCCAUGGCCGUUACAUCUGCCGUCAGGUCCCGGGCAGCCUUCUGUCUCGCACAGACUUUCAAUGUACGCAUUGCCUGAAACAUGACAUACCGUUGUCAGAGCACUCCAGUUGGCACCGGUCUCCAUUGUAGCAGGUGAAACACUCACACUCCCCACCCGUCACGUCCGUCGGCGGGGCCAUUGUCACUGUGCCGUUCUCACACUUCUUCUCACAGUACAUUCCAAACCAGCCCUUAAUUGACCAAGAUUACUAUCAGUUGUAGAGUGAUGGAGAUUUUUGGCCUUUUUAUUGAAGCCAAAUCGAUGACACAUUUUGGUAUUCCGGUUGAUCCAUCACAACGUCCCCUGUCCUCUUCUGAAUAGCAAGAAUCAUCUCCACAGUCAGGAAUGCUGCAGUCAGCGCCAGUCCAUCCUGAUAAAAAAUAAUGAAAAAUCGGAAUGAUUUAAAUAAUACAUUCUGUAACAAAAAGGCUACACCACAGAUAAUAAUCAGCAACAAUUUAACAUGAAGCAUGCCAUUGUUAGGGGCUCAAUACAUGCAAAUAGAAACUGUUUAUAGAGACAUACAAUGUAUUGCUCUUUUACUCUCUAGUGCCUUACAUCUAGAUUUUCAUGUAAUGAAAGUAUGUGGAUUCUUUAUAUCUUUUUUUUAUCUUAAAUUUGUUCAUUUGUUUUUAAUGACUGCUAUGAAACUUCAGAUUUGAAAAAUUUCCCUGGAUAAUUUAUUUCGCAGUUUAAAGGACCCAUAAAAUACACAUAAAUUAGUGUACAACAAGUAAUAGUUUCACAGUUUCGCUU